This is a non-coding RNA of Stegodyphus mimosarum, 42 nucleotides long. Lineage: Eukaryota; Metazoa; Arthropoda; Arachnida; Araneae; Eresidae. The record is from Rfam.
CAAAAGGUUCUUUUCAGAACCAAUUUUUUAAAAAUAUUUUCU